Molecule: ribosomal RNA, 120 nt
Filed under: Thalassophryne maculosa (Cano toadfish)
Lineage: Eukaryota; Metazoa; Chordata; Actinopteri; Batrachoidiformes; Batrachoididae
Source: RNAcentral
GCUUACGGCCAUACCAGCCUGNNUACGCCCGAUCUCGUCCGAUCUCGGAAGCUAAGCAGAGUCGGGCCUGGUUAGUACUUCGAUGGGAGACCGCCCGGGAAAUACCGGGUGCUGAAAGCC